GGGCUCUCUGGCAGCACAUGUAUUAAAAGCAGAAAGAUACAGAGGGGAUUGGCACGACCCCUGAGCAAGGAUGUUGUGCAAAUUUGUAAAGUGCUCCAUAUUCUU
Molecule: small nuclear RNA, 105 nt
Filed under: Catagonus wagneri (Chacoan peccary)
Lineage: Eukaryota; Metazoa; Chordata; Mammalia; Artiodactyla; Tayassuidae
Source: RNAcentral